Molecule: long non-coding RNA, 1322 nt
Organism: Halichondria panicea
Lineage: Eukaryota; Metazoa; Porifera; Demospongiae; Suberitida; Halichondriidae
Exons: 3
Source: RefSeq, a predicted model, not a curated record
AGUAAAAUAACUGGGCUCUAAAACCAUAAUCCUGAUCCUAGCUAGCUAGCUAUGGCUGAACGUGACAGUGCCAAGAGAAAGCUAUUUCAACAGUUUUCAACUCCUAUGCCAGUGUUGAUGUAACACCCAAGGCAGCCAAGGCCAAGCAGCAUGAGAAGCGACCCCAGAGUCGAAUUCCCCUCAGGAGCAACACUAGAUCUAACCAGCUAGUCAUGGUUGAACACAGAGCCAAGAGAAAGCUAUUUCAACAGUUUUCAACUCCUACUGCCAGUGUUGAUGUAAUAUGUACAGUAACACCCAAGGCAGCCAAGGCCAAGCAGCAUGAGAAGCGACCCCAGAGUCGAAUUCCCCUCAGGAGCAACACUAGAUCUAACCAGCUGGUCAUGGUUGAACACAGAGCUAGAGCUAUUGAUGAAACAAAACAAUGUCGACAGUUGUCCACUCAUACUGCCAGUGUUUAUGUAAUAUGUACACCCGUACCCAGGCGACCCCAGAGUCCAAUUCCGAGCAGCACUAACCAGCUAGCCAUGGCUGAACAUGUCGACAGAGCUAGAGCUAGUGGUGAAAGAAAGCGACGUCGACAGUUGUCCACUCCUACUGGAAUAACACCCGAGAAGCCACCCCGCAGUCGAAGACUUCCCCUCACAGUGAAAAACAGCACAAGCUCAGUUGCUCAACAAUCCGGUGCCUCGUGUACACCCUCUCCGACUACUUCAUCGAAAUGGAAAUUAAAGGAAGAUAUAGCAAUUGUAAAGUUUAUUCUAUUAUCAACACCUAGCAAUUGUUGGCCUGCAAUGUCUGAGAAUUUCUGGAAGUCAGCUGCUCUCUUUGUACACCAAGAAGCCAAGAACCAUUGCGAAGCAGUUUGGCGUGUAGCUCUCGAGUGAGGAAGAUUCUCAGCAAACACUACACAGCACCGAGGGAAGCAGAAACAGCCCUCACGGCUACACGUUCUAAACACCCUAAUACAACACCCCUCAUGACACUCCCUGCAAGAGUAUCUUCAGAGCCACAAGCUCUGAGUAUCUCUUAUAUUGAUACUGGAGAAUGCCAGGUUAAUCUCGUAAUGGUUGACAAGCUUCAGAACUUCAAACGGCAGGUUCUAAACCUUCCACCUUAUGUAUGGAAGAGCAACACUCCCUGAAUCUGGUGCUCGUUCAACUAGGAUGACCUUCCAUAAUUUACCCAUUCCAAUGCCACCACCACUGGAAAGCACUCAACAUCACCUAUUUGAACACUCAUACGCUCAAUAAACUUCACUCCAACAUUAUACUUCUUAUUGUGUUCAAUUAAGCAAUAAUUUAUAUGAAAAUCAAAUUAUA